This is a non-coding RNA of Triticum aestivum (bread wheat), 176 nucleotides long. The record is from Rfam. Lineage: Eukaryota; Viridiplantae; Streptophyta; Magnoliopsida; Poales; Poaceae.
UUCUUGGUGAAGAGCUCCAGACCAUAGUAGCUGCCCGUAUAGCACUAUGCAUCAGUUGCUUCUCUGCAACUGCAAAUGUCCAUCCUUGUAUGAUAGGUUUGCUAUGGGAUGUAAAUGCCCAUUUGCACCGGCUUGAUUCAGCUUUGUGUUCCAUUUUAAACGGUUCUCCGAGGGGC